AGCCGUUGGGCGGUUGACGGGACCGGGUGCCGCGUAGCAGGAGGUGGCGCCCGUCCCCUCGGGGUGGCGCGCGGGAGCCCGCGGCUGGGGGGCGGGGGGCAGGGGACGGGGGCGGGGAGCAGGGUGAGGGCUCCAGCAUGGCAGGCUGCAGGUCCCGAGCCCUGCCCCCUUGCCCCGCGGGGAGGUGGCUGAGGCCCAGCGAAAAUUCGAGCGCGGCGCCGGCGGGCCAUCACUGUUGGGGGACCCAGUGCACCCUCCGCAGCUGCUGGCCCGGGUGCUAAGCCUCUCUCACUGCCCAGGGCCGGCGGCGCCAGCCGACCGCUCAGAGUGCGGGGCGCGCCGAGCCCGCGCCCACCCGGAAGUCGCGCUGGACCUGCGAGCACCGCAGGCAGCCCAGGUUCCGGCCCGCGCCUCUCCCUCCACACCUCCCCGCCGGCAGAGGGAGCCCGCUCAGGCCUCAGCCAGCACAGAGAGGGGCUCCCACGGUGCAGCUGCGGGCUGAAGGGCUCCUGAAGCGCGGCCAGAGUGGGCUGAGGCCGAGGAGGCGCCGAGAGCCAGCGAGGGGAUGCCAGCAAGCUGUCACCUCUCAGAAAUACAGGAAGAACAUCAAUAAUGUUCGAAGUUAUAAAUUGCGGAGGCCAGAAGUCAGAAAACAAGGUGUCUGCAGGACCAACCUCUCCUCUGGAUGCUCUAGCAGAGGAAGAGGAGCGACUGAAGAAGAAAGAGGGUGGAGGUGAAGAUGUGGAGCUCAUAUUGAAUCUUUGGAAAAGUGAAAAUGGCUUUUAGUAUCCAGUAAGAAGAGUAAAUAGAAGAAUUUUAGCCACAAAUGGAAAAGAAAACGUCUCUUCCUCAGCUCAAAGAGACAAGCUCUUGUCAGUUCCUGUAAAAUUUAAUGCUGGUGGGCCUGGAAGCACAUUUCUCAGACACCCUAGCAAAUAGGAAUGACCAAGUAAUAUAAUUUUGCCAAUAAAAAUAUGCACAAUAUUUGGUGGAAAUUUCUCACAAAAUCUUGCUUUCCUCACAUAAAUGUUU
RNAcentral lists this long non-coding RNA (1032 nucleotides) under Homo sapiens (human). RNAcentral describes it as "HSALNT0333398". Lineage: Eukaryota; Metazoa; Chordata; Mammalia; Primates; Hominidae. The record is from RNAcentral.